CAGGAAGCAACAGGAGCAGGAUGCGUCCUCCCACCCGGCUGCCCUCCCUGCGUCCUGCGCCGGGCGAGCAAGCAGCGCCUCUCCCUCGCGCGCGGGUGGCUUUUGAGCAUGCUGCCCGUGUUCAGCAGUGUGCACACAUGCACCCCCUUGUUCACAUUUUGUCUUCUAGGGCUGUGGAAGAGCUCCACAACCUUCAGCGAGCCUCUGGCCGUGCCUCGGCCGGACCCCCCCGAAGCCGCUCUGGCACGCGUGGCCUGCAGUGGCGCAGCUGAGGCUGCAGGGAGAUGCUGUUGCACCAAACACUCGCUUCACAUUCCCAGGAGGUGAGGAAGAUGUCAUGGGAGAUACAUUUACAUUUGUAAACUGCAAUCAAAACUAAUUAAAACCAACACAAAUACUGAUUAAUAGAGGAGGAAACCUGAUUCCGAGUCCCAUGAUCCCACCCUAAAUAACAGUGACUUGGUUUUAUAAGAGGAAGAUUUUCUUGUUCCUCUUUCAUUCUUAACAUCUGGUGACACAUUUCCAGCUCCCAGGCACCAACGAGGCAGCAGCGCCGCGCUCGGGAAGCGGCACAGGGAAGCAAUCCCAUGGCCUUUACUUGUUCUGCCUGAAACACAGCUUAUCUUUUAAGAGAAGUCCACUGCUGUGAUGUUAUGGUCCAGGCAAGCGCCAUGCCUGUUCUCAUUUGGUCAUAGGCCACUGUUUUCAGUUUGUUUCAUUAAAAUUGAAUUUAUUCCAGCCAAGCAGUUAAAAUAUUCAUUACUAGUCUCGUCACCUUUAAAAUUCUCCUUUCC
This 794-nucleotide long non-coding RNA is filed under the name Struthio camelus australis. Its description in RNAcentral is "lncRNA (ENSSCUG00000007199.1)". Lineage: Eukaryota; Metazoa; Chordata; Aves; Struthioniformes; Struthionidae. The record is from RNAcentral.